This 941-nucleotide long non-coding RNA is filed under the name Phoenix dactylifera (date palm). RNAcentral describes it as "long non-coding RNA (PDAC_LNC014238)". The record is from RNAcentral. Lineage: Eukaryota; Viridiplantae; Streptophyta; Magnoliopsida; Arecales; Arecaceae.
AGGGAGGGAGAGAGAGGAAGAGGGAAGGGGAGAAAGAGGCCGAGAGAAGGAGAAAUAUCAAAACGGGGGUGAAACCAUGCCGGUCCUCCGCUGGUAUAGUUCGGUACGCUCCGAACCGGACGGUUCAGAAUGGUGCCACCUUUCUUGAUUUUUUAUAAUAUAUUUUUAUUAUAUUACUAUGAAGCAUUUAUAUUUCUACAAUAAUGUUGUACAAUACUAAUAUUAUAUAAUAAUAUAAUAUUAAUAUAAUAUUAUUGUUACACAAAAUAUUGUUACUUGAUAUACGUAUUUAAAAUAUUAAUGUUAUAACACGAAACAUAUCCAUAUAAUGUAUUUUAUUUAUUAUAUUUUAUAAUAAUUAAUAUACUAUAAUACUAUAAUAUUAUAAUAUGUAAUAUAUAUUAUGAAUCUUUAAUAUUGAAAUUAAAUUUUAAAUAUUAAUUAAAUCAUAUGAAAUGUACUAUAGUAGGUAGUUUUUUUUUUUUUUUGCUAAAACGGGCAACUCAUACUACUCGGGUACGAACACACCCAACAGAAUCUGCAUCAAAAGGUCCCGGAAUGCUCCAGGCACGUCAUCCCCACCACCCAAAAGGUGCCUCCUGAGUGGCUCGCAACAUACGCCGCCACCCAGUCUGCCGCCCCAUUCGCCUCACGAUAUAGAUGCAUAACCUGAAAGGAAAACCCCUCACUCACCAUCAACCAUAUAUCACGGAGUAAAGGGUGAACUCCUCCAUCACUAUGAGGGCCCUUCCGGAUCCAACUAAUCACGGUGGCUGAGUUACCCUCCAGGAAGAUGGAGCUCGCCUGAAGUACCUGUCGUGCAUACCGUAAUCCCAUCCAAGCCGCCGCAGCUCUGCCCCUGGGACCGAGGUAUCGAAGAUCUGACAACCCCCUGCUGCCACCAUGUUGGAGCUUGGGCCCCUAAUAACAAAACCUGCUCC